AAACACUUUUUCCUGUAUAAAUUACCCCGUCUCGGGUAUGUCUUUAUCAGCAGCGUGAAAAUGGACUAAUACAAUAACUUCACCACAUACCUUUCAUAGUAUAAUGCAUUUAUAUGUAGCUAUCACCCUCUACCCUCACUCCUCCAACCACUACUAAAAACUCUUCAAGGUCAAGGGCUUUACCUUAUAUAUCUUUGUGUCCCCUGUAUUGCAGAAUACCCAUCCCAUAGAUGUACUUGGGAUAGACAGCUUCUGGCACUCCUCCCAAGAUCUCUCCCUCCUGGUUACAAAAACCUGAGACUUCCAUUUUGCUGGAAACUUCUUUUCCUCUUGCACACUCACUCUGCGACUCUGUGUGGAGAGCUCCAUGUGACAAGGGAGGUCUGCAGCCUAAGCAACUGAGACCUCAGCCCAACAGCCCUCAAAGAACUGGAUCUUCAAACAACCACAUGAGUGACCUAGAAGCAAAUCUGUCACCAGUGCUCUUGAGACGGGCUGAAGUAUUUAAUCACCGGCACAAAAUGUCCCAGUGUUCUGUUCUCCUGCUGUGGAAAUUUUAGAGAAAAGAUCAUGAUCUAAGAGUCUACAAGACCAGAGCAGCCUGAAUUGCUGAGCUGCCUGGUGGAGAAUAGCAGCAUUGGGUGGUUCCCAGGAUUCUUAAAAGGACUUUACAAAGGCCUGGCCUAAUCACUUAAGAGCUCUUAAGGAGUGAAUGGGCUCUUCCUGAAAAAAGAGCUUCUGCUAACCCUGAAAAGCAAGCAACAACCCUGUGAACUGCUAUGGAGAGAGAUGGCCUCUAACAGCUGAGGACCUCAGUCCUACAACCACAAGAAACUGAUUUCUGCCAACAACAUGAAUGAACUUGGAAAAGGCCCCUGAGCUCCAGAUGAGAACACCCAGGUCAACUCAGGUCAUGAGCAGAGAACCCUGUUAUAUUCUCCUUGGCUUGUGAUCCAUAAACAAUGAGAUUAUAAAUGUGUGGUUUUUAAGCCAUUAGGUUUGUGGUAACUUGUUACACAAGCCUCUUUUAGAUUCUUUACAUACACAAAUAUAUUCUAAACGAAUAAUGAGUCUUCCUUUCCCAUCUUUAUACCAUUUACUUCUUAUUCUUCCCUUACCGCUUUAAGACCUCUAGUAUAAAGUUGACUAGAAAAGGUGGUAGUGGCAUUAUUGUGUAGUUCUUUAUAUCAAAGGGAAGAUUUUCAAUGUUUUCAUGUUAAGUAUGACAUUUACUGUAGGUUUUUCAUAGAUGCUCUUUAAUCAGUUUAAGCAAUUCUUGUCUAUCCCUAGAAUUAUUGUCAGGAAUAAAUGUUGACUUUUAUCGAACACUGUUUCUGCACCUUUUAAAAAUAUCAUAUUUUUUCCUUCAAAUGGUUACUGUGUUGAAUUAUAUUAGCAGACAUUCUAAUGUUAAAGUAACCUAUCAUUCCAGAGAAAAGGAGGUGAGAAUAGCAGUUUAGUUAUGAUGCUGUAUCCCUUUUAUAAAUUCUUGGAUGCAAUUUGCCAAUAUUUGGUCUAAGAUUUUUGCAUUAUGUUAAUGACUGGAAAUGAGUCUUAAUUUUCCUUUAUUUUUCUGGCUUCUUUGUGUUUCGAUAUCAAGAAUAUGCAAGUCUCAUGCAAUAAAUUCUAUGGAAGAGUU
RNAcentral lists this long non-coding RNA (1639 nucleotides) under Homo sapiens (human). Its description in RNAcentral is "HSALNT0399497". Lineage: Eukaryota; Metazoa; Chordata; Mammalia; Primates; Hominidae. The record is from RNAcentral.